This 431-nucleotide ribosomal RNA is filed under the name uncultured rumen bacterium. RNAcentral describes it as "bacterial SSU rRNA". It matches the Rfam family "Bacterial small subunit ribosomal RNA", at positions 354 to 776 of the family's 1533-position model. The record is from RNAcentral.
GCUAAGAAUAUUCCGCAAUGGACGAAAGUCUGACGGAGCGACGCCGCGUGGAUGAUGAAGGCCGGAAGGUUGUAAAAUCCUUUUGGGAGCGAGGAAUAAGGAAUCUGAGAGAAACGGAUUCUGGUGACGGUAGCUUCUGAAUAAGCAACGGCUAAUUACGUGCCAGCAGCCGCGGUAACACGUAAGUUGCGAGCGUUGUUCGGAAUUAUUGGGCGUAAAGGGCAUGUAGGCGGUCUUGCAAGUCUGGUGUGAAAUUCCGUGGCUCAACCACGGAACUGCGUUGGAAACUGCAUGACUGGAGUCGCUGAGGGGCAGGCAGAAUUCCUGGUGUAGGGGUGAAAUCUGUAGAUAUCAGGAAGAAUACCAAUGGCGAAGGCAGCCUGCCAGCAGAUGACUGACGCUGAGGUGCGAAGGUGCGGGGAGCAAACAGG